RNAcentral lists this unclassified non-coding RNA (302 nucleotides) under uncultured Didymellaceae. RNAcentral describes it as "sequence contains ITS1". The stretch from base 1 to 105 matches the Rfam family "5.8S ribosomal RNA", at positions 50 to 154 of the family's 154-position model. Lineage: Eukaryota; Fungi; Ascomycota; Dothideomycetes; Pleosporales; Didymellaceae. The record is from RNAcentral.
GAAAUGCGAUAAGUAGUGUGAAUUGCAGAAUUCAGUGAAUCAUCGAAUCUUUGAACGCACAUUGCGCCCCUUGGUAUUCCAUGGGGCAUGCCUGUUCGAGCGUCAUUUGUACCUUCAAGCUCUGCUUGGUGUUGGGUGUUUGUCCCGCCUUUGCGCGUGGACUCGCCUUAAAGCAAUUGGCAGCCGGCGUAUAGAUUUCGGAGCGCAGCACAAAACGCGCUUUGUUAGCAAUACGGUGGCGUCCAGUAAGACUUUUUUUAACUCUUGACCUCGGAUCAGGUAGGGAUACCCGCUGAACUUAA